Molecule: ribosomal RNA, 245 nt
Filed under: uncultured bacterium
Lineage: Bacteria
Description: partial small subunit ribosomal RNA
Rfam family: Bacterial small subunit ribosomal RNA
Source: RNAcentral
AGGACGAACGCUGGCGGCGUGCUUAACACAUGCAAGUCGAGCGGAAAGGCCCUUCGGGGUACUCGAGCGGCGAACGGGUGAGUAACACGUGACUAACCUACCUUUUAGUGGGGGAUAACCUAGGGAAACCUGGGCUAAUACCGCAUAAUACCUACGGGUCAAAGCAGCAAUGCGCUGAAAGAGGGGGUCGCGGCCGAUUAGCUAGUUGGCGGGGUAAUGGCCCACCAAGGCAGUGAUCGGUAUCC